UGGCGGACGGGUGAGUAAUGUCUGGGAAACUGCCCGAUGGGGGGGGAUAACUACUGGAAACGGUAGCUAAUACCGCAUAACGUCGCAAGACCAAAGAGGGGGACCUUAGGGCCUCUUGCCAUCGGAUGUGCCCAGAUGGGAUUAGCUAGUAGGUGGGGUAAUGGCUCACCUAGGCGACGAUCCCUAGCUGGUCUGAGAGGAUGACCAGCCACACUGGAACUGAGACACGGUCCAG
This 235-nucleotide ribosomal RNA is filed under the name uncultured bacterium. Its description in RNAcentral is "partial 16S ribosomal RNA". It matches the Rfam family "Bacterial small subunit ribosomal RNA", at positions 96 to 334 of the family's 1533-position model. The record is from RNAcentral.